CCUACGGGAGGCAGCAGUGGGGAAUAUUGGGCAAUGGGCGCAAGCCUGACCCAGCAACGCCGCGUGAAGGAAGAAGGCUUUCGGGUUGUAAACUUCUUUUAAGGGGGAAGAGCAGAAGACGGUACCCCUUGAAUAAGCUACGGCUAACUACGUGCCAGCAGCCGCGGUAAUACGUAGGUGGCAAGCGUUGUCCGGAUUUACUGGGUGUAAAGGGCGUGCAGCCGGAGAGACAAGUCAGAUGUGAAAUCCACGGGCUCAACCCGUGAACUGCAUUUGAAACUGUUUCCCUUGAGUGUCGGAGAGGUAAUCGGAAUUCCUUGUGUAGCGGUGAAAUGCGUAGAGAUAAGGAAGAACACCAGUGGCGAAGGCGGAUUACUGGACGAUAACUGACGGUGAGGCGCGAAAGCGUGGGGAGCAAACAGGAUUAGAUACCCCUGUAGUC
RNAcentral lists this ribosomal RNA (442 nucleotides) under uncultured bacterium. RNAcentral describes it as "partial 16S ribosomal RNA". It matches the Rfam family "Bacterial small subunit ribosomal RNA", at positions 338 to 795 of the family's 1533-position model. The record is from RNAcentral.